CCUACGGGAGGCAGCAGUGAGGAAUAUUGGUCAAUGGGCGCGAGCCUGAACCAGCCAAGUAGCGUGAAGGAUGACUGCCCUAUGGGUUGUAAACUUCUUUUAUAAGGGAAUAAAGUGAGGCACGUGUGCCGUUUUGUAUGUACCUUAUGAAUAAGGAUCGGCUAACUCCGUGCCAGCAGCCGCGGUAAUACGGAGGAUCCGAGCGUUAUCCGGAUUUAUUGGGUUUAAAGGGAGCGUAGAUGGGUUGUGAAGGCAGUCGUGAAAGUUUGCGGCUCAACCGUAAAACUGCAAUUGAUACUGGCAGUCUUGAGUACAGUUGAGGUAGGCGGAAUUCGUGGUGUAGCGGUGAAAUGCUUAGAGAUCACGAAGAACCCCGAUUGCGAAGGCAGCAUACUAAACUGUGACUGACAUUGAUGCUCGAAAGUGUGGGUAUCAAACAGGAUUAGAUACCCCUGUAGUC
RNAcentral lists this ribosomal RNA (460 nucleotides) under uncultured bacterium. RNAcentral's name for it is "partial 16S ribosomal RNA". It matches the Rfam family "Bacterial small subunit ribosomal RNA", at positions 338 to 795 of the family's 1533-position model. The record is from RNAcentral.